Molecule: ribosomal RNA, 253 nt
Filed under: uncultured bacterium
Lineage: Bacteria
Description: partial 16S ribosomal RNA
Rfam family: Bacterial small subunit ribosomal RNA
Source: RNAcentral
UACAGAGGGUGCGAGCGUUAAUCGGAAUUACUGGGCGGAAAGCGCACGUAGGUGGCGACGUAAGUCGGGUGUGAAAGCCCCGGGCUCAACCUGGGAAUUGCAUUCGAGACUGCAUUGCUGGAGUACGGAAGAGGAAGGCGGAAUUCCCGGUGUAGCGGUGAAAUGCGUAGAUAUCGGGAGGAACAUCAGUGGCGAAGGCGGCCUUCUGGUCCAGUACUGACACUCAAGUGCGAAAGCGUGGGGAGCAAACAGG